GUCCGCAUUCUAAGACAGUUGGAAACUUGGCAACCAAUGCUCUAUCUCUGGGAAACCGAUAGAGAGGGUAUGUGGAAGUAUCUCUCUGAAGGAAACCGAUUUUGGAGCUUCCUGGGAAUUGGAUCAUCUUUUACAGAGAAGUUGAAAUGAAUGCAACUGAGAAUAGCAGAAAAGAAGAAAGCUGGGAAUUUUUUUCAGCAGAAUUUCUCCCAGUAUCUUCUAUCACAGAAAACCAAAUCAUCUAUCAAAUAAUAUUUUUAAGCAAUGAGGGAAAGAGAGAAGAGAAAAAACUCAAUAGUCAGUUAAUACAUAAAAAAAUACUUAAGCAAUGUACUAUCUUUGUGGACCUCUCACUUCUGCCAAUGAAUAAGGAUAGAAGUGUGUCUUCUCAUAUCUCUUCUUUGGGACCACACGAAUAAACAA
Molecule: long non-coding RNA, 423 nt
Organism: Monodelphis domestica (gray short-tailed opossum)
Lineage: Eukaryota; Metazoa; Chordata; Mammalia; Didelphimorphia; Didelphidae
Source: Ensembl